RNAcentral lists this ribosomal RNA (492 nucleotides) under uncultured bacterium. Its description in RNAcentral is "partial 16S ribosomal RNA". It matches the Rfam family "Bacterial small subunit ribosomal RNA", at positions 29 to 507 of the family's 1533-position model. The record is from RNAcentral.
AGUGAACGCUGGCGGUAGGCCUAACACAUGCAAGUCGAACGGCAGCACAGUAAGAGCUUGCUCUUACGGGUGGCGAGUGGCGGACGGGUGAGGAAUACAUCGGAAUCUACUUUUUCGUGGGGGAUAACGUAGGGAAACUUACGCUAAUACCGCAUACGACCUACGGGUGAAAGCAGGGGAUCUUCGGACCAUGCGCGAUUGAAUGAGCCGAUGUCGGAUUAGCUAGUUGGCGGGGUAAAGGCCCACCAAGGCGACGAUCCGUAGCUGGUCUGAGAGGAUGAUCGGCCACACUGGAACGGAGACACGGUCCAGACUCCUACGGGAGGCAGCAGUAGGGAAUAUUGGGCAAUGGGCGCAAGCCUGAUCCAGCCAUACCGCGUGGGUGAAGAAGGCCUUCGGGUUGUAAAGCCCUUUUGUUGGGAAAGAAAAGCAGCAGGUUAAUACCCCGCUGUUCUGACGGUACCCAAAGAAUAAGCACCGGCUAACUUCGUG